GAAUUUGAAGGUUUAAUUAUCAACAUGUGAACACUGGGAGAAACCAUAUCAGGCAUCAUGGAACAGUGUGUCCCUGUUUCUGAUUCCAAAGGGAUUCUAAUUUGAUUUCCAAAGUCCAGCUUAGAGGAACAUCAAAAUCUGCUGGGAAAGGGAAUCCCCAGCUGACCAGAGGCAAGAAGCCCAGUGACAGCUGCCUUGCCCUGCCAGAGGACGUUUCUGAUGAAAGCCCCAUGUACUGUCUCAAGCUGCAGGAGUUUCUCAGGAGAAAUAGGCUGCCCUCUAUAUGUGUACCACAUGGCCUAGAUGUGCAUUUGGCUACCGCCCCAGGCAUUCUGUGAUGUCUGCGGGAUCAAGUCACCUAAGGAUGGAUGUGUCUCUCAGAGCACUUUCCCUUGGGUGAGCAAAGCAUGGCUGUGCUUCACAGGGGUGUUCUGAGGAUGAGAAGCAGCUCCAACCUUAGUGGAGCAGAAUCUUAUAAUAGUGAGACUGAGAAGAGAGAAGAGAAGCAUAUGGUUGGCAAAGGAAAAGGAACCCCUAAUUUCCACUGCAGGUGGUUACCCUGCCAAGACAGGAGGAUAAAUGAUGAUUGUGUCAGACUAAGCAGUUUAAAUACUGCAAAAAGAUGGUUUUUGCGACCAAGAAUGAAGGAAUGCUAUCCUCUAAGAAUGACUACAAAAAAAAUUUGGAGUCUGUCCUACAUUUUCUCCAGGAGCCAGAAAUGAACUUGCCUCAAAGGCUAAAACACAGAUAAAAAUAAAUUCUCAGUCUGAU
This 771-nucleotide long non-coding RNA is filed under the name Chinchilla lanigera (long-tailed chinchilla). RNAcentral describes it as "lncRNA (ENSCLAG00000024832.1)". Lineage: Eukaryota; Metazoa; Chordata; Mammalia; Rodentia; Chinchillidae. The record is from RNAcentral.